GGGACACUGGGGGCCGCCUGCUGGGGAAACAAACCCAGAGACGCUGCGUCCCCAACCGGCCAGUAGAGGGCUAAGGAUGACAGCAGGGGUUCUGCCUGCAACACCGGAACAGCAGUCAGCGUGGUCGUGCACACACAAGCCCUCCAGAAAGGCAUGUGGGCUGCCCUCCCAUCCGUGUCCCUCUGGCAGACAAAGCAGAGCGCCCCAGGACGGAGCUGCAUAUGGGCGCUGCUGCGGAGGGAAAAAGAAAAAAAGAAAGUAGUGUCCCGCUACCACUGAUGACUGCCUUGACAGGGAACACAACAGAGAAUCCCUGAUGCAGCAGGAGAGCAAUGGGAUGCAGACUUCAAAUUCUCAUAAAAAGCCCAGACAUAAUGGCCUGACCGAGACUAGAGCGACCCCGGAGGUCAUGGUCCCCAGACCCUCUGUUAGCCCAAGACAGGAACCAUUCCUGAAGCCAACUCUUCAGACAGGGAUUGGACUGGACUAUAAAACAGAAAAUGAUACUGGUGAGGAGCGAGCUUCUUGGCUUAAGUAGACACUUGAGACUAUGUGGGCAGCUGCUGCCUGGCGGGGAGAUGAGAAGGCAGAGGGGGACAGGAGCUGGCUGAAUGGACUCGGGGAAUACAGGCUGGAGAGGAGGAGUGUGCUGUCUCAUUAGGGGGAGAGCAGCUGGGGUUACAUAGCAAGGUACGCAUAAGUUUUUGUAUGAGAGACUGACUUGAUUUGUAAACUUUCACUUAAAGCACAAUAAAAAAAAAAUAGUAGCGUGCCUGGUGCUAAUCCUGGUCGUUACCGUUAUUUUCUUCUUUUUACUUUUCUAUCUUUUCCUAAUAGGCGUGUGAUUUGUGUAUAUGUGUUAACUCUUCAUUGAAGUAUAAAUACAUACAGAAAGCACACGAGUCACAAGCUCUGCGAAUUUUUAAAAAUCUACACACAGUGAACAGGACGAUAGCACAUCCCAGAAACGCCUCGUCCCCUCUUCCAGCCACUCGCCCCCACCAAGCAUAACCGCUCCUGCAAUGUAUUCUUAUAUUUGGAAAUGACAUGUAAAGAUUAAUAAAAGUAAGCCUGCCCUUGUUGUUGUUAGCUGCUGUUGAGUCCGCCCCUGACUCGUGGCACCCCCACGCCCAGCAGAGACACUGCCUCGUCCUGUGCGAACCCUGUGAUUGGUUACAGAUCAGACUGUUGUGACCCACUGGCUGAUUUUUGGGAGCUGAUUGCCAGGACUUUCUCCCUAAUCCAUGUUUGUCUGGAAGCAUCAUAAAAAAAAAAAAAAAAAAAUUUGAAGCAUCAUAGCAACGUGAAAUUUUCCACCAACAAACGGGCGGUGACUGUGCCUGAGGUGCAUUGGCCAGGAACCGAACCUGGGUCUCCAGCAUGGAAGGCGAGGGAUUAUACCACUGAGCCUCCAAUGCCUCAAACAUACAUUGUUGUUGGUCGGUGCUGUCGAGUCAGUAUUGACUCAUAGCAACUCCAUGUGACAGAGUAGAACUGCCCCAUAGGGUUUUACUGGCUGUAAUCUUUAUGGGAGCAGAUCAACAGAUCUUUCUCCCAAGGAGCCACUGGGUAAAUUUGAACCACCAAUCUUUUGGCUAGCGCUGAGCGCUUAAUGGUUGUGCCACAAAAAAAACCCACAAAAACGCCAAAUCUAUUGCCAUCGAGUUAUUUCCAACUCAUAGCCACCCUAUAGGACAGAGUAGAACUGCCCCACAAGGUUUCCUAGGCUAUGAUCUUUGCAGAAGCAGAGGGUCACAUCUUUCUCCCGCAGAGCGGCUGGUGGGUUCAAACCACCAACCUUUCGGUUAGCAGCCAAGCGCUUAACCACAGUGCCACCAGGCUCCUUAAAUAUAUGCUAGAGAUGGACAUUUUAAAACACCCAUCCUUCUUUAUUGCUGAAGGCUUUACCAAAUGGCGCACAGGUCAAAAGUUUGAAGGGGACUCAGUAGUGAGUUUGAUCUUUGGAUUCCUUCAAAAGAGCAGCUCUCGAGAAAGGAGGCAAGUCUCAGAUAAGCGUGGGUGCGAGUGCCUAGGGAUCUGCUGGUGGCCAAACCCUUGGCCCUAUGGUUUCCAAACUAGGCCGCACACUGGAGUCAUAAAAAAGUGAAAUAUCAAAAAUCACUGCUGGCAGGUCCCACCCCCAGAGAUUCCCCUUUAUGUGGUCUGGAGUACGUAUGGCCUGGGCUUUGGAAUUUUCCAAAGAUCGCCAGCGAUUCUGAUGUGCCGACAAGUUUGGGAACCACUGACUCAGCAUAAAAGGAGGAUCCAAAGCCUAUUUUCAGGCUGGUGAGCAAACUAAAAAGACUCACAGAGAUUUCUGGAAAUGCCACAGAAAUUUCUUCUUGAUGGCGUCAUGAACUGUAAAUGGUCCUGGUGACUAUUUCAUGUCUGGAAAUGGAUCAGGCAUACUGCAUAAAUCACACACAUUGUUACAGACAGCCUGUCCCCACAUCCUCCCGGGGAUGGACAGGGGAAUGUGGAAAUAGUGACAACGCUGGCUGCCACCCAGGCUCCCAGAGGGGCCAGAGCUGGUUCUGCAGUCAUGACAGUCACCUCCACUAGAUGGCGCUAAAGCAGGCACUGUAUGUGGGCUGAAAAAGCUACAUUUAAUCCUAUUUCCUUGUUGAACAGUAAUACAAUUUCAGAAAUACUCUCUCCUAAUUACCAGGGGAUUCUAUUACCCUUUGUGUGUGAGAUAAAGAUCAACUUACCUCUCCACUGUGAGGACUUGGAACCUCACCCUGGUGCCUGGCUGUGAUUAUUGUUACCAUCCCCUGCCCUGAGCCGAUUUUGACUCAUUGUGACCCCAUGUGAAAGAGUAGAGCUGCCCCACAGGGUUUCUAGGCUGUCAUCUUUAUAGGGGCAGAUCACAAGGCUUUCUCCUGUGGAGCCACUGGGUGGGUUUGAACCACUGACCUUUCACUUAGCUGCUUAACCUUUGCAUCACCAGGGCUUCUAUCUUGGCUAGGAUGUUAGCCCUGAAUUUUCCCGCUCUCUCCACUUGGCUACACUGUAUUUUCAGAUACGGGUCAGAUUUCUAAGAACCUGACUGUGUUUCUAUGGUGGCUGCUCUGGAGUAGCUGUUUGAAAUCUGUGAACGAAUGGGAAAGGUGUGAUAGGAAUUGGAGAAUGGAAAGGAGGAAGAAAGAGGAUGGUGGAGAAGGGGAGGGAGGCACUGGAAUGCUCCUGUGUUAAAGGUUACCUGGCUUAUGAGUUUGGACUCUGCAUUUUGGGGCUUAUAAUGGUGUUUAAUUCACGUAUUUCCAGCAGGCUUGCUAUCCCAUUGUGCAAAUGCUUCCUGGACAAUCACUAGAAAGACAACUAAUUUUUCAUCUAAGAAAGGAACAUAUGUUUCUGAAAACCGUUGAUUCCCUAGGGAAGUGUUCCAAUUACCUGUCGCUGAGAAAUAAACCACCCUAAAACUUAGUGGCUUAAAGCAACAAUUUAUUAUCUCUCACAGUGGGUUGUGGGUUAUCUGCGCUCAUCAGGGUGGUCCUCACUUGGAGUCUGUCAUGUGGUUGCAGUACCAAUGGAACUGAACAUCUGAGAUGGCUCCCUCAAGCGGGGACAGUUGAUGCUGGCUCUUAGCUAAAAGUUGAGCUGGGCUGUCAGCUGUAGUGCCUAUGUGUGGCCUCUCCAUGUGGCAUGGUGGCUGGGUUCCAAGAGGAAAUGUUCUGUGAGCAAAGAUUCCAAGAGCCAGGCAAAAGCUGCAAGGUCUUUAAAGCUCAAGCCUCAGAAGUCCCAGAACUUCCCUUCUGCUACAUUCUAUUGAUCAAGCAAGUCACUAAGUCCAACCCAGAUUCAAAGGGAGGGAAUUAGACCGCACCUCUUUUUUUUUUUUGUUUUAACACAACCUUGAGA
Loxodonta africana (African savanna elephant) is the source of this 3861-nucleotide long non-coding RNA. RefSeq lists it as uncharacterized. The transcript is spliced from 3 exons. NCBI's taxonomy places the organism in Eukaryota, Metazoa, Chordata, Mammalia, Proboscidea, Elephantidae. The record is from RefSeq and is a predicted model, not a curated record.